Molecule: transfer RNA, 79 nt
Filed under: Caballeronia concitans
Lineage: Bacteria; Pseudomonadati; Pseudomonadota; Betaproteobacteria; Burkholderiales; Burkholderiaceae
Description: tRNA-Lys
Source: RNAcentral
AUCGCGAAGGUGGUGGCGAUCCGCCGUGCGUCGCUUUUCGCGACGCGAGCACCGGCCUUCAGACGGGCCGGCGCGAUCC